This is a non-coding RNA of Physcomitrium patens, 918 nucleotides long. NCBI's taxonomy places the organism in Eukaryota, Viridiplantae, Streptophyta, Bryopsida, Funariales, Funariaceae. The record is from RefSeq and is a predicted model, not a curated record.
ACACCUUCGAGCGAGAGCUCGUCAGCAAUUCUGGGGCUGCGCCAAUUUGUUGUUCCGGAUCCCGUCGUGGAAUGAUUGAUUGUCGCUAUAGCAUUGCCAACACGUCCAGCAGAUUAAAUCAAUUUCGAAUUAUUGUUAUCGCUAAUUAUCGGUAUGGCUAUUUUUGCUUAACCAGAAUUCCGUGAGCUCUUGUCAACUCCUCUUGAACUGGACGCUUGCUGGAUUUCACGAUUCUUUCUAUGCUCUUCACAAUCUGUCACGUUCAUUCCUCAAUUUGCUUGUUGUUCACUACUUUUCUUUGACGAAACUCGAGUUUACGAUCUCGAUUUCUAACGGCGACCUCUGUCGUGGUAACGUCCCUCCGACAUCGAAUAACGAAGCCCUAAUUCAGAAGAAAAAAAAAAACGGAAGCUCUUGCCUGCUGUCACUGUCACAUAUUCUGCAUGUGUUGCCUGGUGGGGUUUGUGCGAGGUUGAAGUUGAAUGCAUGAGAUGAAUGAGGUGAACUGAUUUUGCGCCGACAACAUGAGUAUUUAACGAAGAUCUAAGUGGAAUACUCAGAGUUUGUUGCUGGAUCGCUGUUCGAAAUCUGGCCAACAGCUGAUUGCAAGCCAAAUUUGUGCUUCGGUUGCAACAUCUCUGUGGCUGCAAUAAAAGUUUCAACGGUGCAGCUCUGCAUCUGGGAGAAUGGCAUUCAAGUGGAGGCUCGUGGUGACGAGGACAUGGCUGGAAGUGGUGGUGAUGGACCGUGAAAUGUGGUGAGAAUUUUAUACAAUGGAAUUUAAAAUUACGUGAAGAGCGUUCAUUGUUGUAAAGAGGAAGAAAGAAAUAUCUCCUGAUUCUUGUAACUACUGUUUUGUACGUGCUUCCUCGUACUUGCAAAUUUUAAAUAAUUGAAAUUUGAAUAGAAAAUGAAGAA